ACCAAACCUGACGGUCAGGAGGCAGACUGAAGGUCAAGUGGCAACCACGUUUGUUACCUGAACCCCUGGAUGGCCCAGCGAGGUGCAGAGGGAGCAGCCUCCGAGUCUCAAAGCCCCCCAGGUCCAACUCAGACUCGAACUUCAUCAGUUCAAUGAGGGUGGUCCCUUGGUGGUGGGAUUCCGAGCCCAGCACAUCCUGCUUUCAACAGGAGCAACGCUAAGCAAACGCGUGGUCCAAGGGAAGCCGCCUGGCUAGAGAAGACAUGGACUGCACAGGUCCACCUGCUGUGGGGGCAGCCUGAGAUGACUCCUCCAUGUGACACCCUUGAGCUCAUCCCCGUGAGCCACUUAGCUUUUCCAGCUUCCACAGAGAAGUUUAACUUCACCGGUCAGCUCUACGGUAGCCGCUUAUACAAAAACUCAACACUUGUUUCUAAAUAAGCAGGCAGCUGGUGAAAUAGGGAGAGAGCAAGCGUGUGAGCUGCAGGAGGAAAAGAGGGAGAAGACCUUAAG
Long non-coding RNA from Canis lupus familiaris (dog), 513 nucleotides. RefSeq lists it as uncharacterized. NCBI's taxonomy places the organism in Eukaryota, Metazoa, Chordata, Mammalia, Carnivora, Canidae. The transcript has 3 exons. The record is from RefSeq and is a predicted model, not a curated record.